This 372-nucleotide ribosomal RNA is filed under the name uncultured organism. Its description in RNAcentral is "partial 16S ribosomal RNA". It matches the Rfam family "Bacterial small subunit ribosomal RNA", at positions 527 to 896 of the family's 1533-position model. The record is from RNAcentral.
AUAGGUGGCAAGCGUUGUCCGGAAUUAUUGGGCGUAAAGCGCGCGCAGGCGGUCCUUUAAGUCUGAUGUGAAAGCCCACGGCUCAACCGUGGAGGGUCAUUGGAAACUGGGGGACUUGAGUGCAGAAGAGGAAAGCGGAAUUCCAAGUGUAGCGGUGAAAUGCGUAGAGAUUUGGAGGAACACCAGUGGCGAAGGCGGCUUUCUGGUCUGUAACUGACGCUGAGGCGCGAAAGCGUGGGGAGCAAACAGGGAUUAGAUACCCUGGUAGUCCACGCCGUAAACGAUGAGUGCUAAGUGUUAGGGGGUUUCCGCCCCCUUAGUGCUGCAGCUAACGCAUUAAGCACUCCGCCUGGGGAUACGGCCGCAAGGCUG